RNAcentral lists this long non-coding RNA (2369 nucleotides) under Taeniopygia guttata (zebra finch). RNAcentral describes it as "lncRNA (ENSTGUG00000018896.1)". The record is from RNAcentral. Lineage: Eukaryota; Metazoa; Chordata; Aves; Passeriformes; Estrildidae.
GAUGUGUUAUCCCGGAGAGAAGUGAGGCCAGUGAGGUCUCUCCCAUGGGCACAUUCCCUGCAGAACCCCUUCCAGAGCACAGCAGAGGCCUGGCCCUUGGGCUGGGAUCAGUUUGGCCAGAGGGGGGUGACCUCCUUUGGCCAGGGACACGUCCUGCUCUAGCAGGGGGUGUUCCUCGCAAUUGGUAACGAUUUCAAAGACAUAGCACAUCAAUUCUGGGAUUUCCUUUCCUUUCUUUGAACACUAAAGGAGGAAUCUCAACCUGGGUUUAGGUACAGUGACAAAAGGCAAAAACCUUUCUGCAGGUGAGUGCCAGUCCUUGCCCACAGUGCCUGGAAACUAAACCCUGCCAAGCAGGAAGGAGAUCCAGAGGUCUGUCAUGCAUGCGGGCCUGCUGCUGUCAGAUGGAGCAAUCCCACCUGUCCAUAAAUUCCCAUUUCCAAAGGCCUCCAGCCAGUCCUUUGUUAUAUUGCCCAUCCCUACACAGAUUCCCGGGAUCCCAGGGUGCAGAGAUGUCCCAGCAGUGGGCUUUUUCCAGCCUGGAGAACAGCCUGGAGUAGAGGAAACCAAAAACCAACCAGAAGAAGCCUCAAAAAGAAACCCUCAAGAAGAGACUUUAAAACAGAGGAUUUGCUUGUCCUCAGGCAGGAUGGGGUCCUCAGGUCUCCCCAUCAAGCGAGCAAUGUCAGUGUCCCACUGACACCAAUCCUUUUCUACAGGAAAGAGAAAUGAGGAGGAGACCACAAAUGCCGUGGAAUCUAGGACAGAUGAAACCUCUCAGGAGCUCAUAAAAACAAUGAAAGCCUUGCAGGAAUAUCUCAAAGAAUCACAGGAGUCCGGACAGUGUGAGUGUCAGCACAGCAGAGCACAGCUGGAGGGGAACCGAGGUGAGCAGGGCCAUUGCCAAACAGACUUUUUUGUGCUGGGAGCUCUCUCAUUGCCUGAGACUUGCCAAGGGUCCCCCCUUGAAGUGCUGUCCCCGUCCCUCUCCCUUUCCCCACCGCCCUUCUCCUGCUCCCCCAGCGCUGGUCCCAUGCUGGGGCACAUGUGAGCUCAGCCUUGUUUCCCUGGUGAGGAUCUGCAGGGAGAGGAGCUUCCCUGGGCAGAGCCUGGAUGUGUCUGUGAGAGCAGAGACCUCUGCCAGGGACAUGAAACCAGAGCCUUUGGGUAUCCUCGUGUCAGAGAGCUUGUCUGCCCCUCAAGGAGGAAUCAUUAGUGACCCAGUGGCAUUCUUCUUUCUUCACAGGACAGAAUGAGGGGGAAAUUUCAAGUGCCACGACGAUUAGAAAUUUCCAGCAGCUCUCACAAAGACUUGAAAGUCUGGAAGAACGUUUACAGCAAAUGGUGGAGUCAUCAUAGCACGGGUUUCAGCUUCUCAGAGCAGACCAGGAGAAGUAACAAGGUGAGCAGGGCCAUGAUUAAGCAGACUUCCGUCUCUCUGAAGGCAAAAUCUGCUCUACAGGCCAACCACCCUGUGAGCUCCUGCUGCUCAGCUGCUCAGAGGGGAUGGGGAGGGACAGUCUUUACGUGGGUAAAUGCCCAAAGAACCUGACUGUAGUCAUGGGAUGCAGCAGCACAAUCCAUCCUGCAACUGAAGUCAGGUUUUCUGAGCCUCUCAGCAUUUGUGAUCUGUGCCCCGGAAACUCUUCUGUGCUGAAGUAUUCUCUGCAGGUUCUCAAAGCCCUUUUUGGCCCUCUUGUCUAUGGAGAGUGUGUGUAGGUAUGGCCUCACAUGACCUGAGAUGUGGUAAGAGGGUCCAAAUCCCGCUGCCCACUCACCUUCCUCAUGACAGAGUGUUGUCUCCCUCAGAUUCUGUCUGGGGAGAUGGAGAGAGGUGAUCCCUGCUCUCCAUCCUGCCCCCCAGGCCUUUGCCAAAGCCUCAGGAAUACCCACAGGGCCUGUGAUCUUUCCCCACCCUGCUGCAGUCCAUCCAUCCAAAGCAAUUCAAAGAACCUGGUAAGGAAAGUAGCUCUGCAGAGAAGGACCUGGGAGUUGUGGUGGACAAAGAGCUGUCCAAGAGUCAGCAAUGUGUCUUUGUGGCCAGGAAGGCCAAUGAGUGCCUGGGCUGCCUUGGGAAGAGCUUUGCCAACCUCCAAGGGAGGGGCAGCCCUAGUGGGGCACAUCUGGAGCUCUGUGUCCCGUGCUGAGUUCCUCAGUACAAGAGAAACGUGGAGCUCUGGGAUAGGCCCAGCUGAGGAACUACAAAGAUGAUCACAGGCCUGGAGCAUCCCUCUGGUGAGGAGAGGCUGAAGGAACCGGGCCUGUUUGGUCUGGAGAAGAAAAGGCUAAGGAGGGGGUGCCAUCAAUGGGCAGAAGUGUUUGAAGGUGGAUGUCAGGAGGAUGGAGCUGGGCUCUUCUUGGUGGUGCUG